RNAcentral lists this long non-coding RNA (794 nucleotides) under Phoenix dactylifera (date palm). RNAcentral describes it as "long non-coding RNA (PDAC_LNC017430)". The record is from RNAcentral. Lineage: Eukaryota; Viridiplantae; Streptophyta; Magnoliopsida; Arecales; Arecaceae.
AAGCCAAUCGGCAAAGACGUAUAUUCCUUAGAUUUUAUUUAAGGUGAUCCUCACUCUUUUAAGCAAAUGAUGUCACUGGAUCAUUGGUUGCUGUCUUGACCGAUCAGUUUCCAUUUUGUAAUUUCUAUGCAUUUAUUUUAAUGCUUUUGACAUUACUAGUCUUUAGUACCUCUGCAGUUUGCGUCUAGUGAAACUUACACUAUAAACUCUCAAUAUAUGACUAUCUUUUGAUUUUCUUUAAACCUGAUUUUAGAUAAGAUAUAGAAAACAGAACAUGUUAAAGUUCUCACUUAAAAUCUUUGAGGAAAUUUUUCAUCUUGUCCUUGUUAUGUGCUUUUGCUUAAUGAGUGACUCCUAAGUUGAUUUUGGCAUUGUAUAAGAUCUGAAAGCACACAAUUAACCAUUAGUCUUCUUUUCAAUCUGACCUUGUGUUAACUGAGGCUUUGGAUGGUAGUGUUGUUUGUGAUGUAACACAUACAUACCUUAUGGAUCAUGAAAGUUUUCAUGAUGCUCCUUAUCGGACUUAACAUCCAUCCAUGAUUAUUUCUUAAGAAGGAAAAAUCUUCUCAGAUAAUUUAACAGCUUUCAUGUCCAUCCUUUUGAUCAUCUUUUUGCAUGAUACUAUUUCAAUGACCAACUAAGAGAACCCGUUGUGAGUGGUUUUGCUAGUUCCGUCAUCUUCCUACCCUUUGGGCUUUCUAUUCUCCUUCAUAAUUAUAUUCGUUCAGCAUGUGUCACACGUAUCGACGUAUUUAAAAGAUAAUAAUCAUGCCAUGCUGCAAUUUAUUUAGGAA